Molecule: ribosomal RNA, 430 nt
Filed under: uncultured bacterium
Lineage: Bacteria
Description: bacterial SSU rRNA
Rfam family: Bacterial small subunit ribosomal RNA
Source: RNAcentral
GUGGGGAAUAUUGGACAAUGGGCGGAAGCCUGAUCCAGCAACGCCGCGUGAGGGAUGACGGCCUUCGGGUUGUAAACCUCUUUCAGUACCGACGAAGCGAGAGUGACGGUAGGUACAGAAGAAGCACCGGCCAACUACGUGCCAGCAGCCGCGGUAAUACGUAGGGUGCGAGCGUUGUCCGGAAUUAUUGGGCGUAAAGGGCUCGUAGGCGGUUUGUUGCGUCGGGAGUGAAAACAUCCAGCUUAACUGGGUGCUUGCUUUCGAUACGGGCAGACUUGAGGUAUGCAGGGGAGAAUGGAAUUCCUGGUGUAGCGGUGAAAUGCGCAGAUAUCAGGAGGAACACCGGUGGCGAAGGCGGUUCUCUGGGCAUUACCUGACGCUGAGGAGCGAAAGUGUGGGGAGCGAACAGGAUUAGAUACCCGGGUAGUCC